Molecule: transfer RNA, 65 nt
Filed under: Histeroidea sp. 5 KM-2017
Lineage: Eukaryota; Metazoa; Arthropoda; Insecta; Coleoptera
Description: tRNA-Asn
Source: RNAcentral
UUAACUGAAACCAAAAUAGAGGUGUAUCACUGUUAAUGAUAUUAUUGAAACAUCUUCCAGUUAAA